RNAcentral lists this ribosomal RNA (410 nucleotides) under Amblyseius largoensis. Its description in RNAcentral is "partial 12S ribosomal RNA". Lineage: Eukaryota; Metazoa; Arthropoda; Arachnida; Mesostigmata; Phytoseiidae. The record is from RNAcentral.
AAACUAGGAUUAGAUACCCUAUUAGGUAUACGAAUGUUAGGUAGUAGGUGUUGUACAUGAAACUUAAAUUUAUUGGCGGCUUUUUAAAUUUUUUAGAGGAAUUUAUUCUAUAAAGGAUAAAACACCAAAAUCUUACUUUAAAUUGUAUUUACAGUUUGUCUACCGCUAUUUAAUCAUAUGUAAAUCUAUUUUUUUUUCUAGGGUUAGUGGUGUUUUAGGUUAAGGUUCAGCUUAUUUUAAAGAUUGAAAUAAAUAUAUAAAUUAUUAUUUAACUAUAGUUUUUUUUUAAUAAGGGAUUAAAGAAAAAUUUAAAAGUAAAAUCUUUAAGCGAAUUAUUCUUAUUUAGAUUUUAUUUAUUUGUGUACAUAUCGCCCGUCACUCUUAAGUAAAGAUAAGUCGUAACAUAGUAA